Molecule: long non-coding RNA, 205 nt
Filed under: Lupinus angustifolius (narrow-leaved blue lupine)
Lineage: Eukaryota; Viridiplantae; Streptophyta; Magnoliopsida; Fabales; Fabaceae
Description: long non-coding RNA (LANG_LNC002685)
Source: RNAcentral
UUCAUUUAUCACAUUCUUAAGUCAUCCAUACAUUAGGGUUAAUUUAAAUCCAAGUGCCUAAUUAAACAUGCUUUGUGUGUAUAUUUUCCUGCUUAUUUGCACAUGUAUAUUUUUGGUCUAUCUUAGGAUUGGCAUGCAAUAUGGCUGCUUUGGAAAGAAGGUCUAAAUAUAAGUCUAAGGAAUUUAACAAGAAACAUGAACCGCU